RNAcentral lists this long non-coding RNA (714 nucleotides) under Agrilus planipennis (emerald ash borer). RNAcentral's name for it is "uncharacterized LOC112906455, transcript variant X1". Lineage: Eukaryota; Metazoa; Arthropoda; Insecta; Coleoptera; Buprestidae. The record is from RNAcentral.
AAAUAAGUACUGUAUUUUAGAAAAAAUAUAUAUCAUGGAUAGACGUAAAGAUUGCUUCGAUUACGUAUUUACUUCUCACUGGAGUACAAAUUCACCUCAAAUGUCACAUUUUUUAUUUUUGUUUCGAUGACAUCACUGUCAAGUAACGACUCUCUCCGGCAGAUCAAUUAAAAUCGGGACCAUGGACAAGGGCGGGACAUUACACAUGACCGCCGCAACACCACCAUGGCUCUGCUGAUGCGGCGGUUAAUUACUGAUGCACAGAAUUAUCUUGAAAAUGGUUGUUAAUUUGUUAUUGUUGAUCAAUUUUGAACCAAACUAUCUGAAUUAUCCUGGUUUACUGCAUUACAGCAGAGAAAAUUAAAAUUGCCACUAUCUAUUUUAAGAACAAUGAAAACCUGGAAAAUUGCAAAAACUUAAUCGAAGAAUAAGAACCCCAGUCACGUCUACGUAAAAAGUUAGUAUCUAAAUUCUUGGAAACUGGAUCUGCAGCUAAUAAAAACAUGAAAACCGUCACAUUGUUCAUAACGAGGAUGCAGAGGUUGCAAUUUUGGGACAUGUUGAACUGAAUCCCACAUCAAUCACCAGAAAAUUGGAAUCUACUUCAGAAGUAGAAGUCUUCAGAAGGUCUGAAAGAAACAUCGAUUCCAUCCGUAUAAAAUUCAUCUCGGGCUUGAACUUAAUGAAGAUGAUCCAGAUCAUCGUAUUCAAUUU